AUUGAACGCUGGCGGCAUGCUUUACACAUGCAAGUCGAACGGUAACAGGCCUUCGGGUGCUGACGAGUGGCGCACGGGUGAGUAAUGCAUCGGAACGUACCCAGAGGUGGGGGAUAACGCAGCGAAAGCUGUGCUAAUACCGCAUGUGAUCUGAGGAUGAAAGCGGGGGACCGAGCAGCAAUGUUUGGCCUCGCGCCUUUGUAGCGGCCGAUGUCGGAUUAGCUAGUUGGUGGGGUAAAGGCCUACCAAGGCGACGAUCCGUAGCUGGUCUGAGAGGACGACCAGCCACACUGGAACUGAGACACGGCCCAGACUCCUACGGGAGGCAGCAGUGGGGAAUUUUGGACAAUGGGCGAAAGCCUGAUCCAGCAAUGCCGCGUGCGGGAAGAAGGCCUUCGGGUUGUAAACCGCUUUUGGCAGGAACGAAACGGUGUCCGCUAAUACCGGGCGCUAAUGACGGUACCUGCAGAAUAAGCACCGGCUAACUACGUG
This 492-nucleotide ribosomal RNA is filed under the name uncultured bacterium. Its description in RNAcentral is "partial 16S ribosomal RNA". It matches the Rfam family "Bacterial small subunit ribosomal RNA", at positions 30 to 507 of the family's 1533-position model. The record is from RNAcentral.